AUUUACUCUGCCCAAUGAAAAAUUAAAUGGCCGCAGUAUAUUGACUGUGCAAAGGUAGCAUAAUAAUUAGUUUUUUAAUUGAAGACUAGAAUGAAAGAGGGGAUGAAAUUUAAACUGUCUCUAAUUUAAUAAUAAAAAUUUAUUUUAAGUAAAAAGUCUUAAAUAAGUUUAAGGGACGAGAAGACCCUAUAGAAUUUUAAAAUUUUGAUUUAAAUGAAUUAAUAAGAUUUUAAGAUUUAUAAGAAUUUAAAUUUUUUUAUUGGGAGGAUAUUAAAAUUUAAUAAACUUUUAAAUUUAAAUAACAUAAAUUUAUGAAUUUAAUAAUUUUAAUAAAAAAAAUAAAUAAAAUUACCUUAGGGAUAACAGCGUAAUAAAUUUUUAAAGUUCAAAUUAAAAAAUUUGAUUGCGACCUCGAUGUUGAAUUAAAAUAAAAUUUAAGUGAAGAAGCUUAAUAUUUAA
RNAcentral lists this ribosomal RNA (459 nucleotides) under Chrysis viridula. Its description in RNAcentral is "partial 16S ribosomal RNA". The record is from RNAcentral. Lineage: Eukaryota; Metazoa; Arthropoda; Insecta; Hymenoptera; Chrysididae.